RNAcentral lists this ribosomal RNA (497 nucleotides) under uncultured bacterium. Its description in RNAcentral is "partial 16S ribosomal RNA". It matches the Rfam family "Bacterial small subunit ribosomal RNA", at positions 28 to 507 of the family's 1533-position model. The record is from RNAcentral.
GAUGAACGCUGGCGGCGUGCCUAAUACAUGCAAGUCGAGCGAACAGAUGAGGAGCUUGCUCCUCUGACGUUAGCGGCGGACGGGUGAGUAACACGUGGAUAACCUACCUAUAAGACUGGGAUAACUACGGGAAACCGGAGCUAAUACCGGAUAAUAUAUUGAACCGCAUGGUUCAAUAGUGAAAGACGGUUUUGCUGUCACUUAUAGAUGGAUCCGCGCCGCAUUAGCUAGUUGGUAAGGUAACGGCUUACCAAGGCAACGAUGCGUAGCCGACCUGAGAGGGUGAUCGGCCACACUGGAACUGAGACACGGUCCAGACUCCCACGGGAGGCAGCAGUAGGGAAUCUUCCGCAAUGGGCGAAAGCCUGACGGAGCAACGCCGCGUGAGUGAUGAAGGUCUUCGGAUCGUAAAACUCUGUUAUUAGGGAAGAACAAAUGUGUAAGUAACUAUGCACGUCUUGACGGUACCUAAUCAGAAAGCCACGGCUAACUACGUG